ACGCACGCUGGCGGCAUGCCUAACACAUGCAAGUCGAACGAGACCUUCGGGUCUAGUGGCGCACGGGUGCGUAACGCGUGGGAACCUGCCCUUAGGUUCGGAAUAACUCCCCGAAAGGGGUGCUAAUACCGGAUAAUGUCUUCGGACCAAAGAUUUAUCGCCUUUGGAUGGGCCCGCGUUGGAUUAGCUAGUUGGUAGGGUAAAAGCCUACCAAGGCGACGAUCCAUAGCUGGUCUGAGAGGAUGAUCAGCCACACUGGGACUGAGACACGGCCCAGACUCCUACGGGAGGCAGCAGUGGGGAAUAUUGGACAAGGGGCGAAAGCCUGAUCCAGCGAUGCCGCGUGAGUGAUGAAGGCCUUAGGGUUGUAAAGCUCUUUUACCCGGGAUGAUAAUGACAGUACCGGGAGAAUAAGCUCCGGCUAACUCCG
This 430-nucleotide ribosomal RNA is filed under the name uncultured bacterium. RNAcentral's name for it is "partial 16S ribosomal RNA". It matches the Rfam family "Bacterial small subunit ribosomal RNA", at positions 29 to 505 of the family's 1533-position model. The record is from RNAcentral.